RNAcentral lists this ribosomal RNA (430 nucleotides) under Kineosporiaceae bacterium Ellin7105. RNAcentral describes it as "bacterial SSU rRNA". It matches the Rfam family "Bacterial small subunit ribosomal RNA", at positions 28 to 456 of the family's 1533-position model. Lineage: Bacteria; Bacillati; Actinomycetota; Actinomycetes; Kineosporiales; Kineosporiaceae. The record is from RNAcentral.
GACGAACGCUGGCGGCGUGCUUAACACAUGCAAGUCGAACGGUGACCUCGGAGCUUGCUCCGGGCGAUCAGUGGCGAACGGGUGAGUAACACGUGAGUAACCUGCCCCUGGCUCUGGGAUAACCCCGGGAAACCGAGGCUAAUACCCGGAUACGACACAGACAGGCAUCUGUACUGUGUGGAAAGUUUUUCGGCUAGGGAUGGACUCGCGGCCUAUCAGCUUGUUGGUGAGGUAACGGCCCACCAAGGCGACGACGGGUAGCCGGCCUGAGAGGGCGACCGGCCACACUGGGACUGAGACACGGCCCAGACUCCUACGGGAGGCAGCAGUGGGGAAUAUUGCGCAAUGGGCGAAAGCCUGACGCAGCGACGCCGCGUGAGGGAUGAAGGCCUUCGGGUUGUAAACCUCUUCAGCAGGGAAGAAGCGAAAG